AACGAACGCUGGCGGCAUGCCUAACACAUGCAAGUCGAACGAGACCUUCGGGUCUAGUGGCGCACGGGUGCGUAACGCGUGGGAACCUGCCUUUAGGUUCGGAAUAACUCAGAGAAAUUUGAGCUAAUACCGGAUGAUGUCUUCGGACCAAAGAUUUAUCGCCUUUAGAUGGGCCCGCGUUGGAUUAGCUAGUUGGUGGGGUAAAGGCCUACCAAGGCGACGAUCCAUAGCUGGUCUGAGAGGAUGAUCAGCCACACUGGGACUGAGACACGGCCCAGACUCCUACGGGAGGCAGCAGUGGGGAAUAUUGGACAAUGGGCGAAAGCCUGAUCCAGCAAUGCCGCGUGAGUGAAGAAGGCCUUAGGGUUGUAAAGCUCUUUUACCCGAGAUGAUAAUGACAGUAUCGGGAGAAUAAGCUCCGGCUAACUCCGUG
Molecule: ribosomal RNA, 433 nt
Filed under: uncultured bacterium
Lineage: Bacteria
Description: partial 16S ribosomal RNA
Rfam family: Bacterial small subunit ribosomal RNA
Source: RNAcentral